RNAcentral lists this ribosomal RNA (252 nucleotides) under uncultured bacterium. RNAcentral describes it as "partial 16S ribosomal RNA". It matches the Rfam family "Bacterial small subunit ribosomal RNA", at positions 524 to 776 of the family's 1533-position model. The record is from RNAcentral.
UACGGAGGAUGCGAGCGUUAUCCGGAUUUAUUGGGUUUAAAGGGUGCGUAGGCGGGAUGCCAAGUCAGCGGUAAAAAUGCGGUGCUCAACGCCGUCGAGCCGUUGAAACUGGCGUUCUUGAGUGGGCGAGAAGUAUGCAGAAUGCGUGGUGUAGCGGUGAAAUGCAUAGAUAUCACGCAGAACUCCGAUUGCGAAGGCAGCAUACCGGCGCCCUACUGACGCUGAGGCACGAAAGCGUGGGUAUCAAACAGG